UGGGGAAUUUUGGACAAUGGGCGAAAGCCUGAUCCAGCAAUGCCGCGUGUGUGAAGAAGGCCUUCGGGUUGUAAAGCACUUUCAGCGAGGAGGAAGGUGGUGAACUUAAUACGUUCAUCAAUUGACGUUACUCGCAGAAGAAGCACCGGCUAACUCCGUGCCAGCGGCCGCGGUAAUACGGAGGGUGCAAGCGUUAAUCGGAAUUACUGGGCGUAAAGCGCACGCAGGCGGUUUGUUAAGUCAGAUGUGAAAUCCCCGGGCUCAACCUGGGAACUGCAUUUGAAACUGGCAAGCUAGAGUCUCGUAGAGGGGGGUAGAAUUCCAGGUGUAGCGGUGAAAUGCGUAGAGAUCUGGAGGAAUACCGGUGGCGAAGGCGGCCCCCUGGACGAAGACUGACGCUCAGGUGCGAAAGCGUGGGGAGCAAACAGGAUUAGAUACCCUGGUAGUCCACGCUGUAAACGAUGUCGAUUUUGGAGGUUGUGCCCUUGAGGCGUGGCUUCCGGAGCUAACGCGUUAAAUCGACCGCCUGGGGAGUACGGCCGCAAGGUUAAAACUCAAAGGAAUUGACGGGGUCUAGCUG
This 580-nucleotide ribosomal RNA is filed under the name uncultured bacterium. RNAcentral describes it as "partial 16S ribosomal RNA". It matches the Rfam family "Bacterial small subunit ribosomal RNA", at positions 355 to 926 of the family's 1533-position model. The record is from RNAcentral.